Drosophila miranda is the source of this 721-nucleotide long non-coding RNA. RefSeq lists it as uncharacterized. The transcript has 3 exons. NCBI's taxonomy places the organism in Eukaryota, Metazoa, Arthropoda, Insecta, Diptera, Drosophilidae. The record is from RefSeq and is a predicted model, not a curated record.
GAAAAAGUGUACGUUUCAAAAAUUCGAUGCUGAUCACGAAUUAGUAUUCGAUGUGGCCAGGAACAUGGCUCUAAGUGGCAUUUAUACACGGUUUCUACAUUGGUGCAUUAGACAAGAGGGGUAUGCAAAAUGUUGCUCAGUCCGCGCCAUGUUGAGGAACAAAGCUGCUCGAAUUCUCGGCACAUGAUUUCUCAUAUUCGUGUAGAAUAGAGGGCGCCGGUGUAUGUAAGAGAAAAACAGUUGCUGGCCGAAAAUAAUCGCCAUCGUUAUCUGAAUUCAAGCUAUCAAAAAACAAAUUUCACAAACAUUCACAUGAUUUGGUGGGUCAGGUCAGCUGCUUGCAGCUUUUCCACACAAUAGCCACACGUGACUAGACUGUGGAGCACAAAAUGAGAUCGUUCUGAAAUUGAAGACAAUCGAAAUCCAUUCUUGGGAGAUUUCGUGGUUUGUCGAAAACAAUAGACGCACGUGCCUGUCUAAUGCAGACGCAUAUCAUAGGAAUACCAUGACAAUGACAGCAAAAAAUUUUUGAAGAAUUUAUGCAUACAAAAAACUAAAAGUAAUUAGUUUCACGUAUAUAUGUACAUACGUAUAUACGUAUAUAAAUUCAUACAUACUCAAGUGUAUAAUUAUACCAUAGCGAGCUUAAGGCCUCAGUAGCUAUAGCCCCACACCUUGUUAAUACCUAGUUUUAACUAUUUAUUAGCUUUAUAUAAUAAUA